AAAUAUCAGUUUACAAAAGCUCCCUUAUUUUGAAGACUCCAUGUUCACAAGUAUGCGGAAGCCCCUUUGGCAGUCAGCAUACUCUGACAUCAUAAGUCACAUGACCGGAACCUGCGUGACGUCGAGUUAUUUUGCUUAAACAUCAAUAAUAACCGAACAACGAAGAAGAAGAAGCGAAAAGGACGGAAAAUACAAAGAAAAAAUGAUGUAGCCUAUCAUUGUGAUAAGCUGAAAUAUUGAAGUACCUUGACAAGAUGUUUUGCAGAGGUGGAUCGACAAUUAUAAAAAGAAGCUGAAGAGGGGAGAGCAUUCCAGUGAACCCAGAGUUAAACUUGAAAAAGGGCUAAGAGAGACAUCGAUGUGUUCGACAGUGAGAACUUAUCAAAACAAGAGGGCAACACUAACAAAGAGAAGGUGCAGGCUUUACACAGGACCUGGAGGAGCAGCACAGCCGAGGAACAGGAGCGGAGCUCUGAAACAACGAGGAAAAUGACCCCUCCACAGCGACCUGCAGACCACAGUCCUGAUCAAAAGAAGAGCCUCUACAAGGACACCUUAAAGAAUAUUGCACAACAGGUCAUCUGUGUGGUCAGCUUAUACAAGAGAUGGGCAACUCUAGUCCUCAAAUUUGCAGCUUUCGUUCGUGUUCUACCUCAGUUAUCAAGCUCGUAAAUGCGAGUUGUCUUUUUUGUCCUUAUGUUUCUACCACUUGCUAAUCAGAAAAUAAAACAAAGAUUCCAGCCCCUCAAAGACUGAAAGAGCCAGUUCUUUAUUUGCACCAAACAAGCAAUCGAAAACUCAGAAUUAAAAUCAAAUGUUACUGUCACACUCUGAUGAGAUGUUCUAUCUUAAAUAGGUGUCAAUCCUACAAGAAUUAGGAAGAAGGGGGUCAUAGUUCUC
Acipenser ruthenus (sterlet) is the source of this 900-nucleotide long non-coding RNA. RefSeq lists it as uncharacterized. NCBI's taxonomy places the organism in Eukaryota, Metazoa, Chordata, Actinopteri, Acipenseriformes, Acipenseridae. The record is from RefSeq and is a predicted model, not a curated record. The transcript has 3 exons.